Molecule: unclassified non-coding RNA, 379 nt
Filed under: plant metagenome
Description: partial contains 5.8S ribosomal RNA, internal transcribed spacer 2, and large subunit ribosomal RNA
Rfam family: 5.8S ribosomal RNA (bases 1-106)
Source: RNAcentral
CGAAAUGCGAUAAGUAAUGUGAAUUGCAGAAUUCAGUGAAUCAUCGAAUCUUUGAACGCACCUUGCGCUCCUUGGUAUUCCUUGGAGCAUGCCUGUUUGAGUAUCAUGAAAUCUUCAAAGUAAAUCUUUUGUUAACUCAAUUGGUUUCUACUUUGGUAUUGGAGGUCUUUGCAGCUUCACACCUGCUCCUCUUUGUUCAUUAUCUGGAUCUCAGUGUUAUGCUUGGUUCCACUCGGCGUGAUAAGUUAUCUAUCGCUGAGGACACUGUAAAAGGUGGCCAAGGUAAAUGCAGAUGAACCGCUUCUAAUAGUCCAUUGACUUGGACAAUACUUUUAUGAUCUGAUCUCAAAUCAGGUAGGACUACCCGCUGAACUUAAGC